This 781-nucleotide ribosomal RNA is filed under the name uncultured Neocallimastigales. RNAcentral describes it as "partial large subunit ribosomal RNA". It matches the Rfam family "Eukaryotic large subunit ribosomal RNA", at positions 23 to 638 of the family's 3401-position model. The record is from RNAcentral. Lineage: Eukaryota; Fungi; Neocallimastigomycota; Neocallimastigomycetes; Neocallimastigales.
GAGACUCUGUGCGCGUGCAUAUCAAUAAGCGGAGGAAAAGAAACUAACAAGGAUUCCCCUAGUAACGGCGAGUGAAGCGGGAAGAGCUCAAAUUUGAAAUCUUAAAGGGUUUCCCUUUACGAAUUGUAGUUUAAAGAAGUGUUUUCUGUUGGAGUUUCGGUAAAAGUUCUUUGGAAUAGGACAUCAUAGAGGGUGAGAAUCCCGUACUUGACCGUUACUUUCCAGCUGUGUGAUACACUUUCAAAGAGUCGGAUUGUUUGGGAAUGCAGUCCAAAAUGGGUGGUAAAUUUCAUCUAAAGCUAAAUAUUGGCGAGAGACCGAUAGCGAACAAGUACCGUGAGGGAAAGAUGAAAAGAACUUUGAAAAGAGAGUUAAACAGUACGUGAAAUUGUCAAAAGGGAAGCGUUUGACACCAGUGUUGUUUAGUUGAAAAUCAAUUCAAUAAUUUUUGAUUUUGAGUAGUAUUGACUUCAUCAGCUUGCUGCUUUCUUUUCCGGAAAUUAUUGAAUGCACUUUUCAGUUAACAAGUCAACAUCAAUUUCUUUUGUUGUAAAAGGGUAAGAGGAAGGUGGCUUACGCUUUCGGCGUAAGUGUUUAUAGCCUUUUAGCCUCUGCAAUCGGAGAGAUUGAGGACAUGCAGCGUAGACUCCUUCGGGGGUUAGAUACACUUGUGCUAAGCUAUAGCCUUGUAUAGACAACUUGUUGACUAUGCUCAGUCAUGUAGCUUACUCGCUUGUGCUAUUUUACCUACGCUUAGGAUGUUGACAGCAGUAUAGACUGU